UCUCCAUGAAUACCAUACUGUAAAUAACAGGCUGGAAAUAAAAUUAUUAUAGGAAGAUAGCAGAAGCUGUGUAAAAACACAAAGCUCACAGCCUGCUGGAGAGAUGUGCAAGUUACUUGAAAGCACUGCCAAGUAGGCACUAAUUGGUGCCCCAAUCGGCAGUCUCAGGAGACAGGCCAAGGAUGGAGACUGAAGGAGUGUCCAGGUCAGCUCGGAGGCACUUGAGACAAACUUGCAGAUAUUUUAACUGACUGUAGCCUAAGGGCUUCUGUGUCAUUUGAUGGGUAUAUACUUUUCAUUAUUUUAUUGCCACUUCACCCAUACCUGCAAAAUUAGUUCAUUUCAGCAGAGCAACACUGAGCAGAAGCGUGACCUGCUCUUCAGCAGAAAGAAGGGAUCUCCUUUAGUCUGAAGACAACAAAUGACUGUUCUCUUGACCUUGUGCCGGAGGUCCAUAUGUCAGUUUUCACUUGCUUCCAAAAUGAGGUUUACUCUUUUUUUUUUUUUUUUUUAGUCUGACUUCUGACACUUCUAGUAGUCUGUAUAAACAGUAGAGAAGAACUGUGUACUCAAGGAAUGAUUUUAAUACUUAAUCCCCCAAUCCACUUCUGUUAAAGAUUUUUUUUUUUAAAGAAAUGUGAAGUUUCAAGCAAUAUUUUAAUGUAUCUCCAUUUUAAAAAUCUUAU
Meleagris gallopavo (turkey) is the source of this 686-nucleotide non-coding RNA. Lineage: Eukaryota; Metazoa; Chordata; Aves; Galliformes; Phasianidae. The record is from RefSeq and is a predicted model, not a curated record.